RNAcentral lists this transfer RNA (71 nucleotides) under Spinibarbus hollandi. RNAcentral's name for it is "tRNA-Arg". It matches the Rfam family "tRNA". Rfam says of the family: Transfer RNA (tRNA) molecules are approximately 80 nucleotides in length. Their secondary structure includes four short double-helical elements and three loops (D, anti-codon, and T loops). Further hydrogen bonds mediate the characteristic L-shaped molecular structure. tRNAs have two regions of fundamental functional importance: the anti-codon, which is responsible for specific mRNA codon recognition, and the 3' end, to which the tRNAs corresponding amino acid is attached (by aminoacyl-tRNA synthetases). tRNAs cope with the degeneracy of the genetic code in two manners: having more than one tRNA (with a specific anti-codon) for a particular amino acid; and 'wobble' base-pairing, i.e. permitting non-standard base-pairing at the 3rd anti-codon position. RNAcentral also lists the same sequence under 1 other name. Lineage: Eukaryota; Metazoa; Chordata; Actinopteri; Cypriniformes; Cyprinidae. The record is from RNAcentral.
AGGGAGUUAGUCCAAAACUAAGACCUCUGAUUUCGGCUCAGAAGACCGUGGUUUAAUUCCACGACCCCCUU